This 405-nucleotide long non-coding RNA is filed under the name Geospiza fortis (medium ground-finch). RNAcentral describes it as "lncRNA (ENSGFOG00000013336.1)". Lineage: Eukaryota; Metazoa; Chordata; Aves; Passeriformes; Thraupidae. The record is from RNAcentral.
GGCUCUGCUGCUCCAGCUGAAGCUGGAGCUGCCCUUCGACCGCGUGGUCACCAUCGGGACCGUCCUUAUCCCCAUCCUCCUCGUCACCCUCGUCUUCACCAAGAACUUUGCCGGACAAGUGGUUUCAGAGAUUGGGCAAAAAAGGCUUUGCUGAUCAUGGAGAAAUUUGUACCUUAGGAAGACUUCAUGGGCAUGGAACCUGUAUUCAGUCUGGAAGCAAUAUUCCCUAAGAAAGAGAGAAGAGGAUCCAGGACAUUUCUUCUUUUCCAUUUAAAAAUUGCUGAAAAAGUACUAAAUAAAUUAUUUCUGUUUCUAAAAAUAAACAGUUUGCUACCUGCUUUCUUGUGCAAUCCUUUUAGUACCCAAGAUGAAUGAGGCAUGUAUGUCAGAUUGCUUACAUGUAUG